Molecule: ribosomal RNA, 411 nt
Filed under: Apiotrichum porosum
Lineage: Eukaryota; Fungi; Basidiomycota; Tremellomycetes; Trichosporonales; Trichosporonaceae
Description: eukaryotic LSU rRNA
Rfam family: 5.8S ribosomal RNA (bases 32-185)
Source: RNAcentral
UAAAGAAAGUCAAGUUAUUAUAACAAAAAAUAACUUUCAACAACGGAUCUCUUGGCUCUCGCAUCGAUGAAGAACGCAGCGAAAUGCGAUAAGUAAUGUGAAUUGCAGAAUUCAGUGAAUCAUCGAAUCUUUGAACGCAACUUGCGCUCUCUGGUAUUCCGGAGAGCAUGCCUGUUUGAGUGUCAUGAAAUCUCAACCAUUAGGGUUUCUUAAUGGCUUGGAUUUGGGUGUUGCCAGUCUCUGGCUCGCCUUAAAGGAGUUAGCGAGUUUAACAAUGUCGUCUGGCGUAAUAAGUUUCGCUGGUAAGACUUGUGAAGUUUGCUUCUAAUCGUCUUCGGACAAUUACUUUGACUCUGGCCUCAAAUCAGGUAGGACUACCCGCUGAACUUAAGCAUAUCAAUAAGCGGAGGA